RNAcentral lists this ribosomal RNA (464 nucleotides) under uncultured bacterium. RNAcentral's name for it is "partial 16S ribosomal RNA". It matches the Rfam family "Bacterial small subunit ribosomal RNA", at positions 339 to 795 of the family's 1533-position model. The record is from RNAcentral.
CUACGGGAGGCAGCAGUGGGGAAUAUUGCACAAUGGGCGCAAGCCUGAUGCAGCCAUGCCGCGUGUAUGAAGAAGGCCUUCGGGUUGUAAAGUACUUUCAGCGGGGAGGAAGGGAGUAAAGUUAAUACCUUUGCUCAUUGACGUUACCCGCAGAAGAAGCACCGGCGAACUCCGUGCCAGCAGCCGCGGUAAUACGGAGGGUGCAAGCGUUAAUCGGAAUUACUGGGCGUAAAGCGCACGCAGGCGGUUUGUUAAGUCAGAUGUGAAAUCCCCGGGCUCAACCUGGGAACUGCAUCUGAUACUGGCAAGCUUGAGUCUCAUAGAGGGGGGUAGAAUUCCAGGUGUAGCGGUGAAAUGCGUAGAGAUCUGGAGGAAUACCGGUGGCGAAGGCGGCCCCCUGGACGAAGACUGACGCUCAGGUGCGAAAGCGUGGGGAGCAAACAGGAUUAGAUACCCCAGUAGUC